Molecule: long non-coding RNA, 204 nt
Filed under: Lathyrus oleraceus (garden pea)
Lineage: Eukaryota; Viridiplantae; Streptophyta; Magnoliopsida; Fabales; Fabaceae
Description: Pisum sativum (pea) long non-coding RNA (PSAT_LNC024079)
Source: RNAcentral
UUUGGACAUCACUUUUGGUUGAGUAAGUGUUUAGUUUUCCUUACAAGGCAAUUAUUAGUGCCUUUGUUAAGUUUUUUUUAAAUAUCUUUAGCAAGUUUGAACCAUUGUACAAUUUUUUCAUGCAUACAUCCAUCAUGUUCAAGCAUUCAUAAACCAUGUCAUUCAUUUUAUUAUUUUUUUCUAAUUCUAUACCAUUCACUCUCA